This 424-nucleotide ribosomal RNA is filed under the name uncultured bacterium. RNAcentral's name for it is "partial 16S ribosomal RNA". It matches the Rfam family "Bacterial small subunit ribosomal RNA", at positions 360 to 776 of the family's 1533-position model. The record is from RNAcentral.
AACUUUGGACAAGGGGCGCAAGCCUGAUCCAGCAAUGCCGCGUGCAGGAUUAAGGCCUUCGGGUUGUAAACUGCUUUUGUACGGAACGAAAAGCCCUGGGUUAAUACCCUGGGGUCAUGACGGUACCGUAAGAAUAAGCACCGGCUAAACACGUGCCAGCAGCCGCGGUAAAACGUACGGUGCGAGCGUUAAUCGGAAGUACUGGGCGUAAAGCGUGCGCAGGCGGUUUUGUAAGACAGAGGUGAAAUCCCCGGGCUCAACCUGGGAACUGCCUUUGUGACUGCAAGGCUAGAGUACGGCAGAGGGAGAUGGAAUUCCGCGUGUAGCAGUGAAAUGCGUAGAUAUGCGGAGGAACACCGAUGGCGAAGGCAAUCCCCUGAGCCUGUACUGACGCUCAUGCACGAAAGCGUGGGGAGCAAACAGA